RNAcentral lists this transfer RNA (73 nucleotides) under Parahaemophilus parainfluenzae. Its description in RNAcentral is "Haemophilus parainfluenzae (human oral metagenome) tRNA-Gly". It matches the Rfam family "tRNA". Rfam says of the family: Transfer RNA (tRNA) molecules are approximately 80 nucleotides in length. Their secondary structure includes four short double-helical elements and three loops (D, anti-codon, and T loops). Lineage: Bacteria; Pseudomonadati; Pseudomonadota; Gammaproteobacteria; Pasteurellales; Pasteurellaceae. The record is from RNAcentral.
GCGGGAAUAGCUCAGUUGGUAGAGCACGACCUUGCCAAGGUCGGGGUCGCGAGUUCGAGCCUCGUAUCCCGCU